RNAcentral lists this ribosomal RNA (330 nucleotides) under uncultured bacterium. Its description in RNAcentral is "bacterial SSU rRNA". It matches the Rfam family "Bacterial small subunit ribosomal RNA", at positions 28 to 357 of the family's 1533-position model. The record is from RNAcentral.
GAUGAACGCUAGCGGCAGGCCUAACACAUGCAAGUCGAGGGGUAGAGUUCUUCGGAACUUGAGACCGGCGCACGGGGUGCGUAACGCGUAUGCAAUCUACCUUAUACAGGGGAAUAGCCCAGAGAAAUUUGGAUUAAUGCCCCAUAGUAUUAUUGAAUGGCAUCAUUUGAUAAUUAAAGUUCCAACGGUAUAAGAUGAGCAUGCGUCCCAUUAGUUAGUUGGUAAGGUAAACGGCUUAACCAAGACAAUGAUGGUAGGGGUCCUGAGAGGGAGAUCCCCCACACUGGUACUGAGACACGGACCAGACUCCUACGGGAGGCAGCUAGGUGA